Molecule: long non-coding RNA, 760 nt
Filed under: Nicotiana benthamiana
Lineage: Eukaryota; Viridiplantae; Streptophyta; Magnoliopsida; Solanales; Solanaceae
Description: long non-coding RNA (NBEN_LNC034913)
Source: RNAcentral
AAAAAAAAAAACUCUAAAAACCUAAAAACAAUUAGCACCAAAAACAAUUAGAUCUGUCGUUCUCAAAAUCAGGAGACCCCCAAAAGAUAGAUCCGCCGUUUUCCUUCUGAUUUGGACUAACAAAAGAACCUCCCCUAAGACUCUCCUUCUUCUUGAACAAAAUGAAUAACGCCGAAGUCUAAAAGAUCAGCAGCUGGACAUAACCCCCUAGAUCUAAGGAAGGAGCAAAAAACCUUCAGCACGCCCUAAGCAACCAAUAGCCAUCUCUCUUCAUUUUCCUCUCUGAACCGCACAGACAGAGAAAUGCAAGCCACAUCUUUGAAACGGAAAAUAUGAAUCGUUUUUAGGUUGAGAGAACAGUUGAGGUUCUAUUUUCCGACGAGGUUCGUUGAGGUUUCCGAUGAGGAGGACUCCGCCCAUUCUAACUCAUUUCUGGCUUUUAUUUGAUAGUUUGAACUAUUUUCUUGCUUUCAAUAGGUAAGCUCUUUUCCUCCUGUAUUUUCCAGUUUAUCUCUACAUCUUUUUGUUGAAUAGCAUUUGACAUGGGUGUAUGGAAUUUUGUUGUAUUUCACCUUCUGCAUAUUUGGUUUUCUUUCUCUUUGUGUGGCAAUCUUUGUCAUUCUAUGUAUUUAAUUAAUGUGGACUAUAAGAUUUAGUUCGCAAGAUGGCAGAAAGAUCUGGAUAUCUGCCCUUAUGAAUAUCGAUAUAAGAGGUGCAUUUACUCAGUUGCUUUAUCUCACAAUAUUAUCCUCCAAUUGAC